AGUAAUGCUUAGGAAUCUGCCUAUUAGUGGGGGACAACAUUCCGAAAGGAAUGCUAAUACCGCAUACGCCCUACGGGGGAAAGCAGGGGAUCUUCGGACCUUGCGCUAAUAGAUGAGCCUAAGUCAGAUUAGCUAGUUGGUGGGGUAAAGGCCUACCAAGGCGACGAUCUGUAGCGGGUCUGAGAGGAUGAUCCGCCACACUGGGACUGAGACACGGCCCAGACUCCUACGGGAGGCAGCAGUGGGGAAUAUUGGACAAUGGGCGAAAGCCUGAUCCAGCCAUGCCGCGUGUGUGAAGAAGGCCUUUUGGUUGUAAAGCACUUUAAGCGAGGAGGAGGCUACUGGGAUUAAUACUCUAGGAUAGUGGACGUUACUCGCAGAAUAAGCACCGGCUAACUCUGUGCCAGCAGCCGCGGUAAUACAGAGGGUGCGAGCGUUAAUCGGAUUUACUGGGCGUAAAGCGUGCGUAGGCGGCUUUUUAAGUCGGAUGUGAAAUCCCUGAGCUUAACUUAGGAAUUGCAUUCGAUACUGGGAAGCUAGAGUAUGGGAGAGGAUGGUAGAAU
Molecule: ribosomal RNA, 563 nt
Filed under: Acinetobacter sp. JA26-2
Lineage: Bacteria; Pseudomonadati; Pseudomonadota; Gammaproteobacteria; Moraxellales; Moraxellaceae
Description: bacterial SSU rRNA
Rfam family: Bacterial small subunit ribosomal RNA
Source: RNAcentral